Long non-coding RNA from Pleuronectes platessa (European plaice), 716 nucleotides. RefSeq lists it as uncharacterized. The transcript is spliced from 3 exons. Lineage: Eukaryota; Metazoa; Chordata; Actinopteri; Pleuronectiformes; Pleuronectidae. The record is from RefSeq and is a predicted model, not a curated record.
UCAAGGUGAAGUCUGAAGAGGUGUGUUUUUAGUUUGAGCUGGAGGAUGUGUGGACUUUGUGUCCUGAUGUCGAGCUAAUCUAAUCUAAUGUUGGCAGUGAGGGAGAGUCGACUGUCGAGUGACACCAAGGUUCCUAGAGGUCAUGUUGAUCAUUCUGUCUUUUACACACAAAUGAAAGUUAAGUGUCUCUGAAAGUGAAAGUGAAAGUUCGUCGCGUCGCCUCGUGAGCUCCAUAUAACGCCGCUCCGCAGUCAGACGUCACUCAGCUGCAGAGUCAGAGGAGACGAGAGGAGAAUGAAGCUGAAAAGCUUCACAGACUCAGAACGACACGACCAUAAAAACAGAAGUCACGUUUCAUACGAGGCUCCGAUGGAAAAAGAAAAAGAUAUCAUGAACCAGACUGGAGGAGACCCUGACGAUCUGAACCCUCUCACCUCUCUGGAGACUUGGAGUGGCUGCGAUGUCGGUGGCUCCUGUGGUGACCUGGUUCACAACCAAGAGAACAACCAUGGUCACAUAUCAUCAAGUGACUCAGCGUCUUUAUGACAAGAUGGUUUCCUCUGUGUUAAAGUCCAUGACCCAACAUCAUUGAAUCCACAUUACAUCACACAUCAAUGACAGGUCCCUACAGACGGGCAGUGGGGAUCAUACCUGUUUUCUGACCCGGGGAUUUGGAGCGGUGGCGCCGGUCCCGGGACCGGCUGCGGUGUCUGCGG